This 440-nucleotide long non-coding RNA is filed under the name Mustela putorius furo (domestic ferret). RNAcentral describes it as "lncRNA (ENSMPUG00000028854.1)". The record is from RNAcentral. Lineage: Eukaryota; Metazoa; Chordata; Mammalia; Carnivora; Mustelidae.
GUGAAUAAAGUCCAUCUUACCUUUUUUAACAAGUCUCACUGAAUAUUUUUUUCUUUAACAGUUACAGAGCCAUAACUCAGAUGGGAUAAGAUUCAUCAUUGGGCCCCUGGACUUCUCACCUAGGAUCCCAAGAAUGCACCUUUGAAGCCUUUGUCUUCCCUCCUGCCUAAUAGAUUGGGGAUCUGUGGGAGAGUAUGACUCUGGAACCAGUGCUUCAGACAGACAUUGUUGAAGCUGCCAGACUGCAACAGGAUAUAAACCUGAGGAUGUUAUUUGUGUGGGAUUCUACAACUUCAUCACUGGAUCAAGUGGACAUACAAGGACCUGCACAUUUGAUCCUCGCUCCUCCCCAAACCCCCCACACAUGGAUUCAUCAUCCUCAUUUUUGUGCUACCGACCUUUGCACAUGCCACUUCCUUUGCCUGGAAAGGAUUUUCUGA